ACGUAGGGGGCAAGCGUUGUUCGGAAUUACUGGGCGUAAAGCGCGUGUAGGCGGUCCGAUAAGUCUGUUGUGAAAGUCCAGGGCUCAACCCCGGAAUGCCGAUGGAUACUGUCAAGCUCGAGUCCGGAAGAGGCGAGUGGAAUUCCUGGUGUAGCGGUGAAAUGCGCAGAUAUCAGGAGGAACACCAAUGGCGAAGGCAGCUCGCUGGGACGGUACUGACGCUGAGACGCGAAAGCGUGGGGAGCAAACAGGAUUAGAUACCCUGGUAGUCCACGCCGUAAACGAUGGGUACUAGGUGUGGGGGGUGUCGACUCCCUCCGUGCCGAAGCUAACGCAUUAAGUACCCCGCCUGGGGAGUACGGCCGCAAGGCUA
This 373-nucleotide ribosomal RNA is filed under the name uncultured bacterium. RNAcentral's name for it is "bacterial SSU rRNA". It matches the Rfam family "Bacterial small subunit ribosomal RNA", at positions 525 to 896 of the family's 1533-position model. The record is from RNAcentral.